Molecule: non-coding RNA, 592 nt
Organism: Sus scrofa (pig)
Lineage: Eukaryota; Metazoa; Chordata; Mammalia; Artiodactyla; Suidae
Source: RefSeq, a predicted model, not a curated record
GAAGGCAGGAAAAGAUGUAGAAUAUUCCACAAUUUGUUGUUGUUGUUGUUGAAGAUGGCUGAUGUUUAAAAAAAUCUCUGACAGUGUAAACUUCGGUUACUUUUAGAUUUGGCAUUUUAGACCUUUAUUUCUCCUCAGUGCCCCCUUUGUCAGGGCCAUUGAUGGAGCCAGCCAUUGUGUGAAUGAGGACAGAAAAGAAACACAGUAUGCUCGGCACUCAAGCUGUUCACAGUAGACCCCUGGAAGGCAUCUCUUUAAUUGCCUAAUAAGAUCUAUGGUGAAACUAUGACUUGCCUGACCAGUCUUCUGUUUACGGAAAAGGUUAAAAAAUGAUCUAAGAACACUGUUUUGGAAAGGAACCAACUCUUACUUCAUCGGGAGUCAAAGCAAAAGGAAGAAUCCAGAAGUAUCAGUUGAAGUAUCUUUAAAAGUGCAGACACUGGAAGUUCCCUUUUGGCAUCAUGGAUUAAGGAUCCAGUGUUUCCACAGCUGUGGUGCAGGCAACAACUGUCGUGUGUGUUUGAUGUUUGAUCCCUGGCCUGGGAACUUCAACAUGCCACAGGUGAGGCCAAAAAAAAACAAAAAAAACCAA